GUGGUCGAGGCCGAAGCGGUCGAGGCACUCGCUUGUGGAGCGAGACGAAGUGGGUUCGAGUCCCACCGGCCACCCCA
This is a transfer RNA of 77 nucleotides. It matches the Rfam family "tRNA". Rfam says of the family: Transfer RNA (tRNA) molecules are approximately 80 nucleotides in length. Their secondary structure includes four short double-helical elements and three loops (D, anti-codon, and T loops).